GGGGUCCGAGAAGACGCGCCACUGUGUGAUUAAUGUGAACUGCAUACUGCUUUGAACAUCGACAUCUUGAACGCCCAUUGCGGCCACGGGUUUUCCUGUGGCCACGCCUGUCCGAGGGUCGGCUUAUAAACUAUCACGACGCCCAAAAAGUCGUGGCUUGGAAUCUGCCAGCUGGCGUGAUUUCCUCUGUGGUUCGCCACGUGAGGUGCCAGAUCUAUGGCGUUUUCCUAAUGUCUCCGGACACAACCGCGUCUUGCUGGUAGCGCAGACGAGGGUGUGGCGGUAGAGUCGUGGCUCAGUGAACUGUAAUGGUAGCACGCUCUACUGUUGUGCCUUUGUUAGUGUGACUGGGUUUAGAUGCUAUUGCGGUGCGCCCAAUGAUGAUAACCUACUGUGGGGUUCUGUUACCUGACCUCGCAUCAGACAUGAGUACCCGCUGAGCUUAAGCAUAUCUCUCAGCGGAGGAAAAGAAACUAACCA
Molecule: ribosomal RNA, 480 nt
Filed under: Lytocestus attenuatus
Lineage: Eukaryota; Metazoa; Platyhelminthes; Cestoda; Caryophyllidea; Lytocestidae
Description: eukaryotic LSU rRNA
Rfam family: Eukaryotic large subunit ribosomal RNA (bases 410-480)
Source: RNAcentral